Molecule: long non-coding RNA, 952 nt
Organism: Anguilla anguilla (European eel)
Lineage: Eukaryota; Metazoa; Chordata; Actinopteri; Anguilliformes; Anguillidae
Exons: 3
Source: RefSeq, a predicted model, not a curated record
GGGCAGCUUCAAUGGGGAGGAGAAAGGGGGCAGAUUAGCAUUUAGUUUGUAUCAGCUUCCUCAGGAGGGAUGUCAGCGCUGAGAGGGAUACGCGUGAGGCCCAGCCGAACGGCGGGGUCUGGCUCUCUGCAAAACACUGCGGCUGCUGCACGGUUCUCAGAGCUCAAGGAAGAGACCAGGCUGUUCCCUGCAUUCACCAGACCGCAGCUUCAACAACCAUGACAACAGAGAGACGGGAUCUCCAUGGGAGAGUGCGGCAUGCAUACAGCCACCUGCAACUGUGGAACUCUCAUUCAUUUCCUGUUGGCGUAUUCCUGUUGGCACGGUGUGCAGCUGCGGCCGAGGCAGCAGGAAGGUGGAGAUGGACAGGAUUAGGAGGUACUGCACCGGUGGAGGCACAGAUGGAGAUGAACAGGAAGCUGCUUUCGGUGGACAGAUGGGCAGGAGCAGAGAAUGGCUGGAUGUACGGAGAAGCAGGGGAAAGAGAGGAGGAAGAACUGAAUGGACAGAGGCAUAGCUGCACAGGAGAAAGGAGCAGUUAAGAGCAGUUUACUCCCGGAGGCGGUUCAUGCCGCCCGCCCCAGGAUCCCCUCCCCUCACCGUGGGACUCUGCCCUUCCACCGGGGGGCCUCCCACCCCUCCGGCGUCUGGCUGUGUUCAGCUGGACUGGCUUUAGGGGCAGGAGCUUCAGGGGGGACGUGGGUUGUAUGAGAGAGCCAUCAGUCACCUGGUUAAUUAGUACCCUCAAUUGUCUCUAAACACCCUCCAUGAUGUGGCAUUGUUGCAGCAUAAAUGUCCCCUUGUUGUUGGAUAUGUUGCAAAACUCUGUGCCUUUGUCUGCCUAUCUGUCCACAUCUGCCAGCCUGCUCAGCUUUGUGAACCUAAAUUUCAGAGCCAAAUAUUUCUCCAUUACAUCAUAUAGAUUGAUUCUCAAUUUGCAACUAAAAAUUGA